AGAACGAACGCUGGCGGCAGGCUUAACACAUGCAAGUCGAGCGCCCCGCAAGGGGAGCGGCAGACGGGUGAGUAACGCGUGGGAACAUACCCUCCGGUUCGGAAUAGCUCAGGGAAACUUGGAUUAAUACCGGAUACGGCCUAGCGGCGAAAGAUUCAUCGCCGGAGGAUUGGCCCGCGUCUGAUUAGCUAGUUGGUGGGGUAAUGGCCCACCAAGGCGACGAUCAGUAGCUGGUCUGAGAGGAUGAUCAGCCACAUUGGGACUGAGACACGGCCCAAACUCCUACGGGAGGCAGCAGUGGGAAUAUUGGACAAUGGGCGCAAGCCUGAUCCAGCCAUGCCGCGUGAGUGAUGACGGCCUUAGGGUUGUAAAGCUUCUUUCGCGUAGGGACGAUAAUGACGGUACCUAGACAAGAAGCCCCGGCUAACUUCGCGCCAGCAGCCGC
This 445-nucleotide ribosomal RNA is filed under the name uncultured bacterium. RNAcentral's name for it is "SSU rRNA". It matches the Rfam family "Bacterial small subunit ribosomal RNA", at positions 26 to 518 of the family's 1533-position model. The record is from RNAcentral.